RNAcentral lists this long non-coding RNA (3076 nucleotides) under Mytilus galloprovincialis (Mediterranean mussel). The record is from RNAcentral. Lineage: Eukaryota; Metazoa; Mollusca; Bivalvia; Mytilida; Mytilidae.
AUAAACUAAGAAAUACAAUUAAAAUUGCUCCAACAAAAUGUUCACUGGCUCAAAGUUUUAAUAUUCAUUCACAGUAUGGAUUCAAAUGCAUAAAUAUGUACAAAAUAUCCUAACAACCAUUCUACAACAAUUUCAUUCAAAAUAACAAAUAUUUUACAACCAGAUACUAUUAAAUUGAAACAUAAUUAAGUCAAUUCUCUCAACUGAACUAGACAAUAUAUAUACAUAAAUAUGUUAAAGUAAAAUAUACCAAUAUCACAUUGUAAUGUUUAAAUGUAGUUAUUUGAUUUAGAUCAUUUAUUUGUAAUUUGUAAAUCUAGUCAAAGUGUAGGGCAAUGAUUAUCAUAGAUUUUGUGACCAGAUCAAACUUUAAACCCAAAUUUAUUAUAAGGGAGCUACCAUUUGAUUUUUAUGGGGGGGCUAGGAUGAAAUUUGAAAAAAAUAGGCAGGACAGGAGUUUUGAGUAAAAAAAAAGGCAGGAUGAGUCACUUGCAAGAAAAAAAAGUCAGGACAACAAUUUAGGUAAAAAAAAGUCAGGAUAAUCUAAACAAAAAAAAAGGCAGGACCGAACAGAGUGAAAAAUAAAAAGGCAGGACAGAGAUUACAGCUAAAAAAAAAUGCAGGACAAAAUUUUUCAUCCUAGCCCCCCCAUAAAAAUCAAAUGGUAGCUCCCUAAACUUGUAAAGAUCUUCAAUGUUAGAUUAUUGGUAUUAUAUAUUAUGUAAACAAGAGUGCACACGCUGAAAUGUCUCGCCUUCUAUACUAAUCAUUGAUAUUAUGUUGAUAGUCCUAAGUAUAAAGCUAAGCUUUAAUACAACUGUCACAUAAACUAAACAUUAACCAAGAUAACUAAACAAAGACCAAUGAACCUUGAAAAUGAGGUCAAGGUCAGAUGAACCAUGCCAGUCAGACAUGUACAGCUAACAAUGCUUCUAUACAACAUAUAUAGUUGACCUAUUACUUAUAGUUUAAGAAAAAUAGACCAAAACACAAAAACUUAACACUGUGCAAUGAACCGUGAAAAUGAGGUCAGGGUCAAAUAAAACCUGCGCAACUGACAUAAAGAUCAUAAAAUAUUUCCAUACACCAAAUAUAGAUGACCUAUGGCAUAUAGUAUUAGAUAAAAAGACCAAAACUCAAAAACUUAACUUUGACCACUGAACCAUGAAAAUGAGGUCAAGUUCACAUGACAUCUGCCCGCUAGAUAGGUACACCUUACAAUCAUUCCAUACAACAAAUAUAGUAGACCUAUUGCAUAUAGUAUGAGAAAAACAGACCAAAACACAAAAAUUUAACUAUAACCACUGAACCAUGAAAAUGAGGUCAAGGUCAGAUGACACCUGCCAGUUGGACAUGUACACCUUACAGUCCUUCCAUACACCGAAUAUACUAGCCCUAUUGCUUGUAGUAUCUGAGAUAUGGACUUGACCACCAAAACUUAACCUUGUUCACUGAUCCAUGAAAUGAGGUCGAGGUCAAGUGAAAACUGUCUGACAGACAUGAGGACCUUUCAAGGUACGCACAUAUCAAAUAUAGUUAUCCUAUUACUUAUAAUAAGAGAGAAUUCAACAUAACAAAAAAUCUGAACUUUUUUUUCAAGUGGUCACUGAACCAUGAAAAUGAGGCCAAGGACAUUGGACAUGUGACUGACGGAAACUUCGUAACAUGAGGCAUCUAUAUACAAAGUAUGAAGCAUCCAGGUCUUCCACCUUCUAAAAUAUAAAGCUUUUAAGAAGUUAGCUAACACCGCCGCCGCCGCCGGAUCACUAUCCCUAUGUCAAGCUUUCUGCAACAAAAGUUGCAGGCUCGACAAAAAUCAAAUGUUCCUUUAACAACAAUAAACUGUCACCAAUGAAUAAUGCAAGAAUUACCCAAGAAGAGCAGGAAUUAUAUGUAUAAUGUCUAUGCCAAAUACUUUAAUAUUAUCUGGUCAAUUAGAGUAAAUAUCAUUGUGAUGGCAUAUGCAUUAAGUUUGAAAUUGACAAGUCUGAUUAAUAAAGUCAUCUUUAGAGGUCAAGAUCAUAUGAACCAUGCCCGACAGACAUGUAAACCUUUAAAUAAUUUUUAAGCAUCUUAGAAAUAGACGAAUGUGUCCCCUUGCCUGUAGUGUAUGCCCUAAUUUUUUUACAGUUAGGGGUUUUUUGCUUGCAAGAGAGCUUAUUCCAUUUUCAUAUUUCUGUGUCAUUUUGGUCUCUUGUGGAGUUUUCUCAUUGGCAAUCAUACCACAUCUUCUUUUUAUAUAAAACCACAAAAACAAAACAUUGUCUAAUGAACCAUAAGAAAGGUCAAGGUUAAAUGAAACUUACAACUUACAAUCAUUCCAUACACCACAAAUAUAGUUGAACUAUCACUUUAUAUAUAAAGAUCGAAGAUUGAUUUGACCACAGAACUUAACCAUGAUCACUGAUCCAUAUAGUUGAGUGAGGUUACACACCAUUAUUCCGACAGCCCAUUAUUCCGACAGCCCAUUAUUCUGACAGCCCAUUGUUCCUUCAGCCCAUUGGUCUGACAACCCAUUAUUCCGACAACCCAAUAUUCGGACAACCCAUUGCACUGACAGCCCAAUAAUCAGACAACCCAUUAGUCCGACACUUAUCAAGUAUCAGGGUAUCAGGGCAAAACAAAAUUUGUCAGGCUAUGUUAUAGUUAUUGAUCAAGCAAGUCGGUAUAUUGGAUUUAAUCUGCACAGCUUGGGUGACCCUGAUUAACCCGAACAACUUAGGAGUUCGGGUUAAAGGGUCACACGAGCGUGCAGAUUAAAUCUAAUAUUCGGAUUUGAUUGGCCAAUAACUGUUUUAACACAUGACGCCAUCAAUUCACGUAACCGUUAUGGAAAUAUGCAAACAAUAUUCCGCAAUCCACAGCUCCUACAAAGUUUUUUCUAGGGUAAAGAAAGGAGGAAAUACGACUUUGGUAAGUUUUAAAUAAAAACAUUUUUUUUAAAUUUAGACUUAUUCUAAAAUUGCGAUUUAAUUGUAGAUUUUUUUUUAUCAUUUCUGUUAAAGUUAUUCCUUAAUUGCUUUUGAAUUUCUUUCCCUCAAUGAUAUGCUUAGAAAAAGAUGAACCAAGGAAGAUG